Molecule: ribosomal RNA, 253 nt
Filed under: uncultured bacterium
Lineage: Bacteria
Description: partial 16S ribosomal RNA
Rfam family: Bacterial small subunit ribosomal RNA
Source: RNAcentral
UACGUAGGGGGCAAGCGUUGUCCGGAUUUAUUGGGCGUAAAGAGCGUGUAGGCGGCUUUGCAAGUCCGUUGUGAAAACUCGAGGCUCAACCUCGAGACGCCGGUGGAAACUGCAAAGCUAGAGUCCGGAAGAGGAGAGUGGAAUUCCUGGUGUAGCGGUGAAAUGCGCAGAUAUCAGGAAGAACACCCGUGGCGAAGGCGGCUCUCUGGGACGGUACUGACGCUCAGACACGAAAGCAUGGGGAGCGAACGGG